UAAAGAGUUCUAUAACUCCCAAACCCAUGUGAACAUACCUAACGUUGCCUCGGCAGGUCGCACCUACCUUGUAGCACCCUACCCUGUAGGGCCUACCCGGGAGGUGCGGGUAAGCCUGCCGGCGGCCCACCAAACUCUGUUUGAUAUUGAAUUCUGAACCUAUAACUAAAUAAGUUAAAACUUUCAACAACGGAUCUCUUGGUUCUGGCAUCGAUGAAGAACGCAGCGAAAUGCGAUAAGUAAUGUGAAUUGCAGAAUUCAGUGAAUCAUCGAAUCUUUGAACGCAUAUUGCGCCCAUUAGUAUUCUAGUGGGCAGGACCGUUCGAGCGUCAUUUCAACCCUUAAGCCUUCGUUGCUUAGUGUUGGGAGCCUACGGCAACGUAGCUCCUCAAAGUUAGUGGCGGAGUUGGUUCACACUCUAGACGUAGUAAUUUUUUAUCUCGCCUAUUAGUUGGACUAAUCCCCUGCCGUAAAACCCCCAAUUUAUCAAGGUUGACCUCGAAUCGGUUCAGACAAACUCGCUAAAUUGAAGCAUCUUAGUCAGCGAAGGAAAAGAAACCAACAGGGAUUGCCCUAGUAACGGCGAGUGAAGCGGCAACAGCUCAAAUUUGAAAUCUGGCCC
This 622-nucleotide ribosomal RNA is filed under the name fungal endophyte. Its description in RNAcentral is "eukaryotic LSU rRNA". The stretch from base 179 to 332 matches the Rfam family "5.8S ribosomal RNA". Lineage: Eukaryota; Fungi. The record is from RNAcentral.